Molecule: non-coding RNA, 22 nt
Filed under: Arabidopsis thaliana (thale cress)
Lineage: Eukaryota; Viridiplantae; Streptophyta; Magnoliopsida; Brassicales; Brassicaceae
Source: RNAcentral
CGACCACUUGUUCUUCACAUGC